GAUUGGUGCUUGCAUCAUGAUUUACAUUUGAGUGAGUGGCGAACUGGUGAGUAACACGUGGGAAACCUGCCCAGAAGCGGGGGAUAACACCUGGAAACAGAUGCUAAUACCGCAUAACAACUUGGACCGCAUGGUCCGAGCUUGAAAGAUGGCUUCGGCUAUCACUUUUGGAUGGUCCCGCGGCGUAUUAGCUAGAUGGUGGGGUAACGGCUCACCAUGGCAAUGAUACGUAGCCGACCUGAGAGGGUAAUCGGCCACAUUGGGACUGAGACACGGCCCAAACUCCUACGGGAGGCAGCAGUAGGGAAUCUUCCACAAUGGACGAAAGUCUGAUGGAGCAACGCCGCGUGAGUGAAGAAGGGUUUCGGCUCGUAAAACUCUGUUGUUAAAGAAGAACAUAUCUGAGAGUAACUGUUCAGGUAUUGACGGUAUUUAACCAGAAAGCCACGGCUAACUACGUGCCAGCAGCCGCGGUAAUACGUAGGUGGCAAGCGUUGUCCGGAUUUAUUGGGCGUAAAGCGAGCGCAGGCGGUUUUUUAAGUCUGAUGUGAAAGCCUUCGGCUCAACCGAAGAAGUGCAUCGGAAACUGGGAAACUUGAGUGCAGAAGAGGACAGUGGAACUCCAUGUGUAGCGGUGAAAUGCGUAGAUAUAUGGAAGAACACCAGUGGCGAAGGCGGCUGUCUGGUCUGUAACUGACGCUGAGGCUCGAAAGUAUGGGUAGCAAACAGGAUUAGAUACCCUGGUAGUCCAUACCGUAAACGAUGAAUGCUAAGUGUUGGAGGGUUUCCGCCCUUCAGUGCUGCAGCUAACGCAUUAAGCAUUCCGCCUGGGGAGUACGGCCGCAAGGCUGAAACUCAAAGGAAUUGACGGGGGCCCGCACAAGCGGUGGAGCAUGUGGUUUAAUUCGAAGCUACGCGAAGAACCUUACCAGGUCUUGACAUACUAUGCAAAUCUAAGAGAUUAGACGUUCCCUUCGGGGACAUGGAUACAGGUGGUGCAUGGUUGUCGUCAGCUCGUGUCGUGAGAUGUUGGGUUAAGUCCCGCAACGAGCGCAACCCUUAUUAUCAGUUGCCAGCAUUAAGUUGGGCACUCUGGUGAGACUGCCGGUGACAAACCGGAGGAAGGUGGGGAUGACGUCAAAUCAUCAUGCCCCUUAUGACCUGGGCUACACACGUGCUACAAUGGAUGGUACAACGAGUUGCGAACUCGCGAGAGUAAGCUAAUCUCUUAAAGCCAUUCUCAGUUCGGAUUGUAGGCUGCAACUCGCCUACAUGAAGUCGGAAUCGCUAGUAAUCGCGGAUCAGCAUGCCGCGGUGAAUACGUUCCCGGGCCUUGUACACACCGCCCGUCACACCAUGAGAGUUUGUAACACCCAAAGUCGGUG
This 1385-nucleotide ribosomal RNA is filed under the name Lactiplantibacillus plantarum. Its description in RNAcentral is "bacterial SSU rRNA". It matches the Rfam family "Bacterial small subunit ribosomal RNA", at positions 71 to 1432 of the family's 1533-position model. The record is from RNAcentral. Lineage: Bacteria; Bacillati; Bacillota; Bacilli; Lactobacillales; Lactobacillaceae.